Molecule: ribosomal RNA, 357 nt
Filed under: Lutzomyia ayacuchensis
Lineage: Eukaryota; Metazoa; Arthropoda; Insecta; Diptera; Psychodidae
Description: partial 12S ribosomal RNA
Source: RNAcentral
AUUUUAAAAUAUAAAAAUAAUUUUAGAUUAGUAUUAAAUAUAUUUAUGAAAUUAAAAUAAUUUGGCGGUAUUUUAGUCUAUUCAGAGGAAUUUGUUUUAUAAUUGAUAAUCCUCAUUAAAUCUUACUUACUUUAUUAAUUUGUAUAUCGUUGUCAUUAGAAUAUUUUAUAAGAAAAAUAAAUUUCUUAAAUUACUAUAAAAUUUUAUGUCAAAUCAAGGUGCAGUUUAUAUGUAAGUAAAAAUGAAUUACAAUAAUAUUUAAUUAAAUGGAUUAAAGAUUGAAAUAUUUUUAUGAAGGUGGAUUUGAUAGUAAAUUUAAUAAGUAAAUUAAAUUGAUUAUAGCUCUAAAAUAUGUAC